RNAcentral lists this ribosomal RNA (253 nucleotides) under uncultured bacterium. RNAcentral describes it as "partial 16S ribosomal RNA". It matches the Rfam family "Bacterial small subunit ribosomal RNA", at positions 524 to 776 of the family's 1533-position model. The record is from RNAcentral.
UACGUAGGGUGCGAGCGUUGUCCGGAAUUAUUGGGCGUAAAGGGCUCGUAGGCGGUUUGUCGCGUCGGGAGUGAAAACUCAGGGCUUAACUCUGAGCCUGCUUCCGAUACGGGCAGACUAGAGGUAUGCAGGGGAGAACGGAAUUCCUGGUGUAGCGGUGAAAUGCGCAGAUACCAGGAGGAACACCGGUGGCGAAGGCGGUUCUCUGGGCAUUACCUGACGCUGAGGAGCGAAAGUGUGGGGAGCGAACAGG